Pararge aegeria (speckled wood butterfly) is the source of this 2179-nucleotide RNA transcript. It is a transcript of the gene named cyclic nucleotide-gated cation channel-like, with no coding region annotated. The transcript has 5 exons. The record is from RefSeq and is a predicted model, not a curated record. NCBI's taxonomy places the organism in Eukaryota, Metazoa, Arthropoda, Insecta, Lepidoptera, Nymphalidae.
AAGUUCGUCCAUAAGGACCGCGUUCUUCAAAGCUCCAAAGUUCCGAUCUCAAAUAUUGGCCUGCAUAUUUUAUCAAACGUUUUGAAUGGUGUACGGAUUGAGUAUGCUGGGAUGACCAUAUUGGAAAAGCUCAAACUAUUUCAUCAAAGUUUUCAGCUCUUCACCUCCUUAGCAACGAUAGUACGGCCUGAUAGUUACUCUGCAGGGGAUACAGUAUGCAAGAAAGGCACUGCAGCUGACAAUAUAUAUAUGGUAGUGAAUGGGAUAUUGGAAGCAACAACGGCUACUGGAGGGCAUUUGGAAACCAUGUCACCUGGUGACAUAUUCGGCGAAAUCGGUGUUCUUCAUAUCGAUGGAUACAAAACAAGGACAGCAAACGUUCACUCAGUGACCCAUUCUAAACUCUUUGCAAUCAAUAAAAGAGAUUUUGCCGAAAUUAUCAAUAAAUUACCUCAAUCUAAAAAACUGAUUGUGAACAUCGGAAAAUGGCGACUGCGACGUUCAACCUGUGAAGCCUUGUACCUGUAAAUCAUUCAUGAUCAGCCUAUUCUGAAGAUUUUCUCCGUUCACCUAUAUUCUAUCUCUACUCUAAUAAUUUCUUGCUCAAACAAUGGAACUUUGCCCAAUUUUUUUUAAAGGAAUAUUAUGUAACAUACUAAGUUUAGAGACUAUUUACUGAUUUGCUCAUAGAUGCUCAUUAUAUUUUCAUAGCGUGUAUAUGCUAAGUUAUACAAUGGGUUAUUUAAUUAAGCGUAUAAUAUCUAAAUAUAAACUUGUAAAACUAUUAAACUUUAUGAUAUGGUUAAACAUACAGGUAAAACCUGUAUGUUUACCUACUCAAAUAUUUAUUCUCGUGAUUUAAGCAUUGGAGAUAGUAUUCAUGAGAUCCAAAUUCAAUAGACGUUUUAAAAAAAAAUUACCGUACACGAUCUAUGUUGGCAGUUCUGAAGUUAGUCACGAGAUACCGUUUUAAAAAUUGUAUGGUGACAAAUCUCGUUUAAGCGCAAGAGAGCCAACUUCAGGUCGGCUAAGUAAGAUCGUACAAUCUGUAUAGGUAAAGAGCGCGCGAGAACUAAUAACCAUGGGAGCCACAGAUCGAAUGGGUGAUAUCGUCGUUCCUUAUCACGAGUGGUUGCAUUGGACCCAAGACCCUUAGUUUAAUUAUUAGAGAUAUCGACGACUUCUUGAAGCGCAUUGCUACUUGUUCCUUGUUGUUUAAGCAUUAUUGACAACGCACGAGACAAUCAAUAAUUCAAUAGCAUAGAAAGUAUCAAUUCAACAUCGCUUUUGCAUCUUCUAUACAUACUUCAAUUGUUUUAAAACAUUUUUGCGUUUAGGCCACCGCGUACAGUCGUACUCUUUCUUUAUAUUAUGCGUGCACCUAAUAUGUGCUGUGCCACGCAGAUUGUCUUUGAAGUUGUCUCAACCGAGUCAAUCUUAUAUUUAUAUUGUACCAAAGCAGUGGUUAUGUGGAAAAGGUAUAUGAACAGUGAAAAAAGCAAUAAAAAAAGUUACCUAAAAAUGUAGAAUCGUGGCGAACGGUUAGCCUAUAUAAUGUCAAAGUAAAAUUUACCGAAUGCUAGUCGCGAAUGUCAUAAGACUGAUUGUAUGUAUAAUAUAUAUAAUGGGGCCUCAUUUUACAUAUUGGAUAGAAGCAGCCUUACUUUGCGGAAUUCCAUGAUAUAUUAUGAAAACUCAAUAUGAAAUUUUCAUAAUGCCUCAUUUUACUCUAAAGUUUCAGUGUUUCGAUACUUGAAUACGACUGUAGGACCGCGAUCAUAUUAAUCGUUCACUUCAGGGUACUAUGGGCCUUGUAACCUAUCGCACGUAUGUUAUUGUGGUUAUUAAUCAUACGGCGACAUAAGACAAAAAAUGAGAUCCAAGUUCAACAAGUUCAGGGCUCGGAUUCUCUAUUAAGCUCUAAUUAUAUGACAGUCUAGACCAUAAUUUUUUACGUCUUGAUCAGCAUCAGAGCAUUUUCUGCGUAGUUUCGGCAAGUUUCGAUAUAAAGUGUUUUUCGACGAAUUUUUUUAUAUAAGAGAGUAAUAAAUCUCUUUUUUCAGUCAAGGGCUUCAUCACUUGAAAUCUCAGUGUAUUUUUUUAAAUAUAAUUUACCAUAAAUGCUCUUGAUCACGCCUGAUUGAAAGUGUUGAUGCAGCCUAAGCUGAAGCGCGCUAGC